AGCUCGUGUCGUGAGGAUGUUGGGUUAAGUCCCGCAACGAGCGCAACCCUUAUUCUUAGUUGUUUCCCUUUGGGAUUACCCUCUAAGAAGACUGCCUCGGAUAACGGGGAGGAAGGUGGGGAUGACGUCAAGUCCGCAUGCUCCUUACGUCUAGGGCUACACACGUCCUACAAUGGGGUCGACAAUGGGAUGCAAUAUCGCAAGAUGGAGCCAAUCCCCAAACGGCCUCUCAGUUCGGAUUGUAGUCUGCAACUCGACUACAUGAAGUUGGAAUCGCUAGUAAUGGCAGAUCAGCAUGCUGCCGUGAAUACGUUCCCGGGUCUU
Molecule: ribosomal RNA, 324 nt
Filed under: uncultured bacterium
Lineage: Bacteria
Description: bacterial SSU rRNA
Rfam family: Bacterial small subunit ribosomal RNA
Source: RNAcentral